GGCUCUUUGCUUAUAUAAAUAUAGGGAGUCGAGCCUGCCCAGUGAAUUUUUAAACGGCCGCGGUACUCUGACCGUGCAAAGGUAGCAUAAUCAUUUGCCUUAUAAUUGAAGGCUAGUAUGAAUGGUUUGACGAGAGCAGCACUGUCUCCUUUUUAUUUUCAAGAACUUAACUUUUAGGUGAAGAGGCCUAAAUUCUAUUGAAGGACAAGAAGACCCUAUCGAGCUUAAAAGACAUCAUAGAAGUUUAUAUAUUUUUAAAUAAAUUUUCUAUUAAGCUUUUUAGUUGGGGCGACUAAGGAACAAAAAAAGCUUCUUGCUGAUGAUAAGCAGUCAUGUUUAGAUCCGAUAAUAAUCGAUCAAAGAAAUUAGUUACCGUAGGGAUAACAGCAUAAUCUCUCUUGAGAGACCUAAUCGAAAGAGGGGGUUGUGACCUCGAUGUUGGACUAGAAUAUCCUAAAGAUGCAGAAGUCUUUGAGGGUCGGUCUGUUCGACCGUUAAAAUUCU
This 504-nucleotide ribosomal RNA is filed under the name Juga sp. 2 EES-2019. RNAcentral describes it as "partial large subunit ribosomal RNA". It matches the Rfam family "Bacterial large subunit ribosomal RNA", at positions 1817 to 2597 of the family's 2925-position model. The record is from RNAcentral. Lineage: Eukaryota; Metazoa; Mollusca; Gastropoda; Semisulcospiridae.